GGGCGGGGUCUCUCGGGCGAGCCCAGGCUCUCACGCUCUCGGCGGCGGCGGCAGCAGCACCCGGAGCUCAGCUCGCUGUCUCGAUCGCUCUGUGCGGGGCUCUCGCCUCACUCCAGAGAGAGGGGCGGGAGGAAAGCGGCGCGGACGGAUGACGCAAGUCACCUAGCAACCGCUCUCCUCCCCCAUCCCUUCUCUUUCCGCUCCGCGGCUGCCUCCGCUGGCCUCUUUUUCCCUUUCCAAUCACCCCGCCCUGGGCGACUCUGGCGCGCGCUGAUGACGCCCGAGAGGAAGAGGAAGUCGGGGCUCGGCGAGCGGGUGGGUGCGCCCCGGGCCGCGGGACUCGCCGCCGCUGCUGCCGCCGCCUCUACGGCCGCGUCAGAACAGAAGAGAGGAAGGGGAGGAGCCGAGUGGAGCCCAAGCUGCCGCGUGAUCUUAUCCCCGACCCGAGGGCGGCGGAGAGGGCUUGCUCUUUAGCGGUCUCCUUCAGGGCAGGUGGUGACUGCUCCUUUGGGAGCAAAGAGGAGGCCCAGGCCGCGCGGCCAUACUCGGGCGCGCACCACCCGAAGCUUUGGAGAGCUGGUCUUGAUUGUUAAUCGGUAUCCGUUCCCGUCAUCAAGAAAGUGUGGCCCGUGUUUCAGGUCUGACUCAGGCUAUUUCCUUUCUAAAAUAAAUAUUAUUACUGUCGUGCAGCUUUUCCUACAGAUGUUAUCCUGGGAAGUAAAUUUAAGUAAAAAAAAAAACAUGAAGUUAAAUGUGUAGUUCUCUAGGAAGUGAAAUUUUAAAAAGGCCAGAAUCCUCAGAAGUCUGUCUUGAACCUGUCCUGGUGAAGAGUGUGAGUGAGAAUGGGAUACAGCAGCAGCGAUGAUGAAAGGAAGCAGAUUCCACAGUUCUGUCGCUGGGCCCUGGCAGGCCCUACCUCCUCUGGAAGGGGCAGUAAUGGAUAUUACAAGUCUUUCCACCUUCCAAGGAUAAGUUUUUAGAGGCAGAUUUUGGAAACUCAGGGUUUCUGCCACUACUACCACCACCAAAUGCAAAGAACAGACCGAACAAACUUCUAACUGGGUAAAUCCAAGUGCUCAUUUUUAUUUAAAUGCUGCAGAAAAAGUGAUGGGCUGGGGGAGGGAGAUGUUACAGAAGCUAGAAGAGACUCACAAAGUAGCACCUACCCAACUGUCCAACUGCCCUUGAUCCUAAAUUCCAAGAGUCAGGUUAACUAUCUUGCUUAAGCUACCCUGGAUUUGACUAUCUUUUCAUGACCUGUCCUGUCCAUAUUCUUCCAAAUAAAAUUCGGUAUCAGACCACCAAGAGAUGGCCGUACACGGCUACAAAACAAAUCUUUUUUUUCCCACCAAUUUCCUGGUGGAAAUUGAAGGAGUAAAAUGCACAAAUUUAGGGGAAGGAUUUUUGUGAUGCUGAGCACCUCAGAUUUUUAGUUCUGUGGGUUUUGGGGGAAAAAAGAGUAAAAACGUCCGAGCUCUGCAACCAGAAGGAUGCCUUCAGGAAAGCAUGUACCACGUGGGGUUUUUCAGCAGCCUGACCUAUGGCUCCACCUUAGAAUCUUUGUGCUGAGACACAGAUUGGCCCUCAGGAGAGCCGGGAGCCACCUACUUAGGAAGUAACAGCUGCAGUGAACUUACUGGGCAAGAUCCACCCACCUCACCACCCAGCAUGAUAACUGGAGGAAACAGCUGGAACUGUCGACUGGAGGGGAGGAAGUUCAUAUAUUCACAGCUAGAUCUGCAGUUCUUUAGUUCUUUUAUUUAUUAUUAAUCCAGAGGAGAAAACAGCUAGUUCAUUCAAAAUUCUCCUAAAAUCUGAAGUUGUAGGUAACAGUUCUUCGCUGAUUCAUCAAUUUGUUUGUGAUAAAGAUCUACAUACUAUGUUAAAAUAUAACAAAGGGAUAUUUGUAAAGGGGUCUUUUCUCCUACACUUGAAAAUGAGCUCUUCUAAGACAUUAAUCAGUGUUUUAUUAUCCCGCAUCAGUGGUUUUUACUGUCAGAUUUCAUAAGCUAAAUGAUAUGACAAAAUUUCUUUCUACAAAUGCCAUCUACAGUAUUUAAUUACUUUUAGCAUUUUCAUUGUGAAAUAUACAUUAAAAUGCAUAAAGCAGUAAUUCAGUAUAAUGAGUAAUCACAAAAGCAACCUCCAUCUGGCCAACCAGGUCAAGAAAUAGAGCAUUGCCAGCACUGCAGAAGUCCCCUGCUGACCUUCCUCAACACAACUCUUGCCCUCUUUUUCAGAGGUAACCAUUAUUCUAACUUUUGUGAUAGUCAUUUCCUUGCUUUCCUCGAUUGUUUUAUCACAAGCAUGCAUCCCUAGACAAUAUGUUGUUAAUUUUUCCCUUUUUUUUGAAUUUAUUAAGUGGAACAACAUAAUCUGUAAUCGGUUGUACUAACUGCUUUUGCUCAACAUUGUUUAUAAUCCGUGUCCUUUUCAGGUUGUUCACAUGGCUAUAGUUUGUUCAUUUUAAUUGCCGCAUAUUACAGUGUUCCACUGUGCAAUAUGCCAUAAUUUAUUUAGCCAUUCUAUUGUUGAUGGAUAUCUGGGUUAUUACAGUUUGAGACUGUUAUAAAUGCUGCUGUGUCUUCAUAUAUGUAUUCUAUCACGACUGAAUCAGUUUCUGUAUGGUAUAUACCUGGGAGUGGUAGGUGUUUCAUAAACUUGAAUAAAUCAUGCCCAACUGUUUUCUAAAGUGUUAUAAUCACACCAACCAUGUUUGAGUUGCAUUGCUCUACAUCCUUAACCACACUUUGUAUUGCCAGUCCUUUUUGCCAGUCUGGUGGGUGUGUAGUACUAUGUCAUUCUGGUUUUAACUUGCAUUUUGCAUUUCCCUGAUUACUGAUGUUGUUGAAGACCUGUUCACAUAUCAGCUAGCCAUUUGCAUUUCCUCUGAAGUGUGGUACUACCUUUUUCAUACCUAAUCUCUGAGGUGCCCAGUGAGCUGGUGUCAUUUGUUGUGAUUUAGUUUCCAUCAAGUAUGUAAAGGCAAUUUUUAUUCUCUGUGUAACUAAAUUCUAUUCUUUGUUGCUUUGUAUUUUAUAGGCAACUAUGUUUGUUUCCCCAGCACUUUUCAUUUCCCAUUUCCAUUCAUUUUAUAAAAGUCACAAUGACUCUUUUCUCCUAAAGUUUAUGCUAAAAUACAUGUGUUUUUUUUUUUUUAAUUUAACUAAUUAAUAUCAAUACAUACCACCCAUGUUACCACCUGGAGUAUUUUCCCAACAUAUUCUUUUCGAUUGUUUUUAUCAUUCUCUUACCUGUCAAUUCUUUGUUUAGAGUCAGUGAUAUUUCAAAGCUGGAAGAAGAUGAGACCCAGAGAAAUUAAGUGACUUACCAGGUCAAAAGAGCAAUUAACUAGGAAGCCUGGACUUCACCCCAAGUCUUCAAAUAGUAUAUGCCAUUAUACCAUACCUACGCUCUCCAUCUUCUGGAACAGUAAGGUAAAUUAAUUCCCAUGGUCUGUAGAAUAUUGUUCACUUCCACAUGGCAAUAUUGUUCACUUCCACUUUUUCUACCAUUCAAUAAGGAUAUUUUAAGCCCAACAGCUUUAGGAUCUGAAUGAGAUUGAUACAAAUAAAAAUAUAAGUAUAAACUUUAAAGGUUAAUAUAAAUGAUAAUACUAAAAGGGAUUAAAUGGAAACUUGCUUUAAAAAAAGUAAGGUUUCUCCACUCCCAAUCUGUCAUUAGGCCCCAUUGCCUCUUCGAAGAAUUAUCAUACUUCUUCAAUAUCUGAGAAAAGAAUUACAAAAAAGAAAACAGUAGUUAGAAGUAUCAGAUGAUGUGAGAAAGGCCCUUGGAUUUGAUGAUCAGGUCCCUAAUAAUUUCAUAAUUCUGUUAAAAAUGUUGGAGGAUAUCAGAAGUUAACAUUUUUUAGAUACAAGAAGAAAUCAACCUAGAAAACUUGACAACCAUUUGACAGGAUUGCCUGUGUUGCUUUCAUAGUUAUCCGGGUUUGUAAAAAGAGUGUUCUGAAAAUGAAUGAUAGAUAAUUUCUAGCUUUAGUAGAAAAUAAAUAACUUUGAAUCACUUGAAAUCUUUGACAAUCUAACCUUAAUGUUUGAGAAGAAUUCUUUAUUUGGUUUUGUAAUUAAUAGUCACAAAGUAUUUUUAUCUAAUAAAAUCUAUUAUUUUUUAAAUUAAAUAUUGAGUGAAAACAGCCUUAAAGAAAUAAAUUCAUAAAAAUGUUAAGGUAGGCUUAGAUGUAACUUAACUCUGAACAGCAAAGGCUUUAAAAUGUUCUGGCUUGAAAUUCAAAGUCGAAUAAUUAAAUUAACAAUAGAGAGUUGUCAAAGGUACAAAAUACAUAAAUAUUAUUCAUAUAUUUUUGUGUUAACUUCAAAAAAGCAGUGAUAUAUAGAAAACAUAAAAGUGUUAGAAUAUCUAUCAUAAGCAUAGAGUUUUCACAUUUACUUUACCAUUCAGUGAGCAAAAACUGACUUGUCACCUACUGUUUCCUAGCAGUGGACUAAGUGCUUGCUGAACUUAAAAUGAUGUAAAGAAAACAGACCUUGUCCCUAGCUUCAUGGAGCUUACAGUCUAGUGCCUAAUAUGUGCCAGGCUUGAGACUUCAGACCAGUCGCUAUCAUCUAAAACUACUUGACCUAUAUUAUCAUUGAUGAUAUAUUCAAUGAAUAAAUGAGUGACUGCUUUUAUUCUCUUGGUAAGCAAAUAAAUGACCGUGUGCUAGAAACCUUCAAUCAUUGUCAUUUGUCAGAUUUUCAUUUUGAAAAAUACAGAAACAUUGAAAGAAUAAUAUAAUGUGUGUUGGUACAACUUUCACCUGGAUUCGGUCCUUGUUAACCUUUUGCUAUAUUUGCAUUAUUUACUUUUUCCAAACCAUUUGUAGGUAGGUUGCAAGCAUGAUGCUUCACUCCAAUACUUCAGCAGGUAUAACCUAAGAAAAAGGAUAUACCUAACUCCAACCUUUAAUCAGAAUUAAGAAAAUUAACAAAUUUGCCUAGUUGUCCCAAUAAUAUUUCAUUCCAGCAUUAUUGGAUAUAAGUGACAGAUAACACUGUACAAGUUUUAAGGUGUACAACAUGAUGAUUUGAUAUACCUACAUAGUAUGAAAUGAUUACCACAAUUAGGUUAGUUAACAUAUCUGUCACUAAACGUAGUUACCUUUUUUUUUGGAGUGAUGACAGCAUUUAAGAUCUGCUCUCUUAGCAAAUUUCAAGUAUAAAAUGCCAACAGUAUCUUUGAUAGUUUGUGCCCUCCCCCCAACUUAGAUCCAAUCAAGGUUCACACAUUGCAUUCUUCAAUCGUAUUUAAAUGUAUAUAUUUUAAGAGAAACUAAAAACUGGACUCUCCAAUAUUUGGAAGUAAUUGCUUUACAUUGUAUCAUUUCUCUCUUUUUUAAAAUGUUAUAUUUUAACAGUUUAAACUUUUAACAUUUUAAACAUUUAACACAACUAAGAGCGCGAUAUAUUUUUAGUAAAGAAUGAUGUUCCUUUCUUCAGUAGCUUUUCACUCACCUUUGACAUCACUUACUGCAGCAUUAGUAGUUGGGGAGCCAUUCUGAGAUACUGAGCAUUCCACUGUUUUCCAGAAGUAAAUGGUACUGUUUCCUUCCAUCUUUGCCCCACCAUGCCUUCCCUGGAAGGCCCUGACCUUUCUCCCAGCCAAAACCCUUAUUACCUCUUUCUGCCCUCCUUGUAUUUGUCCUAACUUCCCAGGAACCCUUUCAAGAGCGUCCAACUUUACAGUUGUUAUUCUCUACCCACAGCCUCUGCUUAGCUCUACCAGAAUCUGCACCUAAUUUCCUUUACUAAAACCCUUUCACUAGGAGUCUUUUGCACCAAAACCAACCACCACCACGUGCCACCACUAAUGUGUACUUAGCUGAUUCCAAAGGGAAGAGAGGACCUAACAUUUGUCAGGAACCUAGACCAUGGCAAUUAUUUCAUUUGAUCUUCACAAAUCGCUGCAGAGUAGGUGCAAGUUACCUAUAUUCCUUUUUCUUCUUCCUGUCCACAUAGGAAAACUGUAUUUCCCAGCCUUCCUUGCAAUGAGGCUAGGGCCAUAUGAUUAGUCUGGCUAGUAGGAUGUAAGCAGAAAUAAUGUAUGUCACUCCCAGGCUUGAUCCCUAGUCUCCCAUGAGAUAAUCAGCUUGUGAUUUCUAACCUUUCUACAAUGCUUAGAAGCAAAAGAUGUUAAGAUAUUGGAUCACAUGCUAGGAGUCCAGAUUCCUUAGUUGAUGCUUGAAGGAAUGCUGUCUGGCCUCAGUCGGGCAGUAAACUGAGCAAAAUAUAAAAUUGUAUUGUGUUAUAGUGCUGAUUUUAAUACCAAGUUUGCAUUUAGAAACUUAAAGAAUAGCAAGUCAUUAUGUUGGUAUUCUAAUCUAGUGAGGUUGGGUUAUAUAAGCUUUUGUAACCAGACAUGAGAAUACAACCCCCUUUUGUUAUACUGUUUUUAUAGAAACAUGAGUUCUGAGUUCCAAUCCAAACUAUGAAAGAACUUCUAGAGAAGAGAAAACAAAAAUCUGAGGGAUUGACUCUUCUGUGAAGGUCCCACCACAUAUUAGAACAUGAGCACCCUGCAGGUUUUAAAGGCUUCUUUUUCAACAAAUAGGCUUCCAUUUCAAAGAUGAAGAUACCUUUUAUUCCAGGGUUGACUUUUUUUAAUAACCAAACCAACUGUUCUCCAGCCUUUUAUUCCAGGGUUGACUUUUUUUAAUAACCAAACCAACUGUCCUGACCUACCAUCUUAUAUGCUAUGACAAGUUCAGAGCCAGCUCUGUCCACUGUUGCUGGCAUCCUCUUAUUAUUUCAAUGCCUUGCCCCCAAUGGACACUAUUAUUUCAUCAACAUAAGACUAUUCUAUGUAGUGGACUUUUAGGUUGAGGGGUAACAAAUUGUUAUAGCAUAGAACUAACUUAUGAAACAACUUCAAAAUCGAUGUCAGAUAUAACUGUUUCUAAAAUGGUUGGCCAAUUGCCACCUUGGAGAAUUUUUACUGAUUAUGUCUUUCCUGAAGUCUCUUCCAAUUGCUCUAUAUUUGCUACUCAACAUCCUCCUCACAUAUCUCCAGAGCAAUCUCCUUAAACACAUUCCUUUUACUUUAUUGAGCAAGCAAUUCAACUCUUGGGUCUCCACCUUUUACAAAAAUUUCAUGAAACUCAUUGUUAAUAAUGUAUACAGUUGCCAAUAACAGAAAACCCAACUAGCAUAAACAUGUAGAGGGUUCACUGUUUUUUAAUAAAAACUCCACUAAUAGGGAGCCCGAGGUUGGCACAGUGGCUCAGUUAUGCCAUCAAGUACUCACGCUUUGUUUCUGUCUUUGCCAUCCUCAUUGCCGUUCAUGUCAUGUGGACCUUUAUCACCAAGCUUGUUGCCUAAUGACUCACAAAUAGGCUGCUGUUCUCAGGAGUCACAUCCACAUUGCAGACCGGAAAGAAGAAGAAAGGGUGGUGCCUGUGCGAGGAAAAGGUGAUUCUUUUCCCAGCGUUUCCGGCACACUGCUGUGUAGGUCUCAUCGACAGAGCGGUGCCUUCGAGACACACUGAGAUCUAAAGAAGGCUGAAAAGAACUUUAGCUGGAAAUUGCGGCCCAAAGAGAAGUUGCAAUUCUGUUAAUAAAGUGGGAAAAAUAAAGAGUAAGAAAUUA
Pteropus alecto (black flying fox) is the source of this 7601-nucleotide long non-coding RNA. RefSeq lists it as uncharacterized. The transcript has 2 exons. Lineage: Eukaryota; Metazoa; Chordata; Mammalia; Chiroptera; Pteropodidae. The record is from RefSeq and is a predicted model, not a curated record.